This 454-nucleotide ribosomal RNA is filed under the name Dendrelaphis cf. pictus. RNAcentral's name for it is "partial 16S ribosomal RNA". It matches the Rfam family "Bacterial large subunit ribosomal RNA", at positions 1939 to 2608 of the family's 2925-position model. Lineage: Eukaryota; Metazoa; Chordata; Lepidosauria; Squamata; Colubridae. The record is from RNAcentral.
AUCCUAACCGUGCAAAGGUAGCAUAAUCAUUUGUCUACUAAUUAUAGACCUGUAUGAAAGGCAAAAUGAGGGUCCAACUGUCUCUUAUAGUAAAUCUAUUAAACUGAUCUUCUAGUAAAAAAGCUAGAAUUAAACCAUAAGACCAGAAGACCCUGUGAAGCUUAAAUUAAACUAUUAAACCAAAUAAUAACUAAUUUUGGUUGGGGCGACCUUGGAAAAAAUAAGAACUUCCAAACAACAUGACACAGUCAUAAACCUAGGCCAACAAGCCAAAUUACGACCCAGCACAGCUGAUAAUUGAAACAAGUUACUCCAGGGAUAACAGCGCAAUCUUCUUCAAGAGCCCAUAUCAAAAAGAAGGUUUACGACCUCGAUGUUGGAUCAGGACAUCCUAAUGGUGCAGAAGCUAUUAAGGGUUCGUUUGUUCAACGAUUAACAGUCCUACGUGAUCUGA